GACGAACGCUGGCGGCGUGCCUAAUACAUGCAAGUAGAACGCUGAAGGAGGAGCUUGCUUCUCUGGAUGAGUUGCGAACGGGUGAGUAACGCGUAGGUAACCUGCCUGGUAGCGGGGGAUAACUAUUGGAAACGAUAGCUAAUACCGCAUAAUAGUAGAUGUUGCAUGACAUUUGCUUAAAAGGUGCAAUUGCAUCACUACCAGAUGGACCUGCGUUGUAUUAGCUAGUUGGUGGGGUAACGGCUCACCAAGGCGACGAUACAUAGCCGACCUGAGAGGGUGAUCGGCCACACUGGGACUGAGACACGGCCCAGACUCCUACGGAAGGCAGCAGUAGGGAAUCUUCGGCAAUGGACGGAAGUCUGACCGAGCAACGCCGCGUGAGUGAAGAAGGUUUUCGGAUCGUAAAGCUCUGUUGUAAGAGAAGAACGAGUGUGAGAGUGGAAAGUUCACACUGUGACGGUAUCUUACCAGAAAGGGAUGGCUAACUACGUGCC
Molecule: ribosomal RNA, 497 nt
Filed under: uncultured Streptococcus sp.
Lineage: Bacteria; Bacillati; Bacillota; Bacilli; Lactobacillales; Streptococcaceae
Description: bacterial SSU rRNA
Rfam family: Bacterial small subunit ribosomal RNA
Source: RNAcentral